AGCAGCCGCGGUAAUUCCAGCUCCAAUAGCGUAUAUUAAAGUUGUUGCAGUUAAAAAGCUCGUAGUUGAACUUCAGGCCUGGCUGGACGGUCCGCCCUCUGGGUGAGCACUGUCUGUGGUCGGGUCCUACCUUCUGGCGAAGCGGCAUGACCUUAACCGGCCGUGGCGGGGAACCAGGACUUUUACUGUGAAAAAAUUAGAGUGUUCAACGCAGGCACGCACUUGAAUACAUUAGCAUGGAAUAAUGGAAUAGGACAAUGGUUCUAUUUGUUGGUUUCUAGGACCGUUGUAAUGAUUAAUAGGGAUAGUUGGGGGCAUUAGUAUUCAAUUGUCAGAGGUGAAAUUCUUGGAUUUAUUGAAGUACUAACUACU
This 372-nucleotide ribosomal RNA is filed under the name uncultured Glomeromycotina. Its description in RNAcentral is "SSU rRNA". It matches the Rfam family "Eukaryotic small subunit ribosomal RNA", at positions 569 to 944 of the family's 1831-position model. The record is from RNAcentral. Lineage: Eukaryota; Fungi; Glomeromycota.